AGAGUUUGAUCCUGGCUCAGGAUGAACGCUGGCGGCGUGCUUAACACAUGCAAGUCGAACGUGAAGAGGGUACUUGUAUCCUUGGAAAGUGGCGGACGGGUGAGUAACACGUAGGAACCUGCCCUGGAGCGGGGGAUAACCAUGGGAAACUGUGGCUAAUACCGCAUGAGCUUGGAAUGACGGGAGUAUUUCAAGCAAAAUUCAGGUGCUCUGGGAGGGGCCUGCGGCCGAUUAGUUAGUUGGUGGGGUAAAGGCCUACCAAGGCGAUGAUCGGUAGCUGUUCUGAGAGGAAGACCAGCCACACGGGAACUGAGAGACGGUCCCGACUCCUACGGGGGGCAGCAGUGAGGAAUAUUGCACAAUGGGGGAAACCCUGAUGCAGCAACGCCGCGUGAAGGAUGAAGGCUUUCGAGUUGUAAACUUCUUUUCUGGGGGAAGAGGAAGGACGUACCCCA
Molecule: ribosomal RNA, 455 nt
Filed under: uncultured bacterium
Lineage: Bacteria
Description: bacterial SSU rRNA
Rfam family: Bacterial small subunit ribosomal RNA
Source: RNAcentral